RNAcentral lists this ribosomal RNA (812 nucleotides) under uncultured organism. RNAcentral's name for it is "bacterial SSU rRNA". It matches the Rfam family "Bacterial small subunit ribosomal RNA", at positions 663 to 1474 of the family's 1533-position model. The record is from RNAcentral.
GGGAUUCCCAGUGUAGCGGUGAAUUGCGUAGAGAUUGGGAAGUACACCGGUGUCGAAAGCGCUCUACUGGCUCGCACCUGACCCUCAGGGACGAAAGCUAAGGUAGCGAGAGGGAUUAGAUACCCCUGUAGUCUUAGCCGUAAACGAUGGAUACUAGGCGUGGUUUGUAUCGACCCAAGCCGUGCCGAAGCUAACGCGUUAAGUAUCCCGCCUGGGGAGUACGCACGCAAGUGUGAAACUCAAAGGAAUUGACGGGGGCCCGCACAAGCGGUGGAGGAUGUGGUUUAAUUCGAUGCAACGCGAAGAACCUUACCAGGGCUUGACAUCCCGCGAAUCUUGCUGAAAGGUGAGAGUGCCUUCGGGAGCGCGGAGACAGGUGGUGCAUGGCUGUCGUCAGCUCGUGUCGUGAGAUGUUGGGUUAAGUCCCGCAACGAGCGCAACCCUCGUCCUUAGUUGCCAGCAUUAAGUUGGGCACUCUAGGGAGACUGCCGGUGACAAACCGGAGGAAGGUGAGGAUGACGUCAAGUCAGCAUGCCCCUUAUGCUCUGGGCGACACACGUCCUACAAUGGUCGGGACAAAGGGGAGCAAGCUCGCGAGAGUAAGCGAAUCCCAGCAAACUCGGCCUCAGUUCAGAUUGCAGGCUGCAACUCGCCUGCAUGAAGGAGGAAUCGCUAGUAAUCGCAGGUCAGCAUACUGCGGUGAAUUCGUUCCCGGGCCUUGUACACACCGCCCGUCACACCAUGGAAGCUGGCCAAGCCCGAAGUCGUUACCCUAACCGUUUGGAGGGGGGCGCCGAAGGCUGGGCUAGUGA